This 548-nucleotide ribosomal RNA is filed under the name Staphylococcus aureus. Its description in RNAcentral is "bacterial SSU rRNA". It matches the Rfam family "Bacterial small subunit ribosomal RNA", at positions 255 to 795 of the family's 1533-position model. Lineage: Bacteria; Bacillati; Bacillota; Bacilli; Caryophanales; Staphylococcaceae. The record is from RNAcentral.
AGGUAACGGCUUACCAAGGCAACGAUGCAUAGCCGACCUGAGAGGGUGAUCGGCCACACUGGAACUGAGACACGGUCCAGACUCCUACGGGAGGCAGCAGUAGGGAAUCUUCCGCAAUGGGCGAAAGCCUGACGGAGCAACGCCGCGUGAGUGAUGAAGGUCUUCGGAUCGUAAAACUCUGUUAUUAGGGAAGAACAUAUGUGUAAGUAACUGUGCACAUCUUGACGGUACCUAAUCAGAAAGCCACGGCUAACUACGUGCCAGCAGCCGCGGUAAUACGUAGGUGGCAAGCGUUAUCCGGAAUUAUUGGGCGUAAAGCGCGCGUAGGCGGUUUUUUAAGUCUGAUGUGAAAGCCCACGGCUCAACCGUGGAGGGUCAUUGGAAACUGGAAAACUUGAGUGCAGAAGAGGAAAGUGGAAUUCCAUGUGUAGCGGUGAAAUGCGCAGAGAUAUGGAGGAACACCAGUGGCGAAGGCGACUUUCUGGUCUGUAACUGACGCUGAUGUGCGAAAGCGUGGGGAUCAAACAGGAUUAGAUACCCUGGUAGUC